UCUCAGUUCGGAUUGAAGGCUGAAAUUCGCCUACAUGAAGUUGGAAUUGCUAGUAAUGGCAGGUCAGCAUACUGCCGUGAAUACGUUCCCGGGCCCUUGUACACACCGCCCGUCACACCAUGAGAGUUGGAGAUACCCGAAGCCUGUGAGCUAACUUUUUAAGAGGCAGCAGUCGAAGGUAGAAUCAAUGAUUGGGGUGAAGUCGUAACAAGGUAAC
RNAcentral lists this ribosomal RNA (217 nucleotides) under uncultured bacterium. RNAcentral describes it as "partial 16S ribosomal RNA". It matches the Rfam family "Bacterial small subunit ribosomal RNA", at positions 1286 to 1500 of the family's 1533-position model. The record is from RNAcentral.